This 633-nucleotide ribosomal RNA is filed under the name Amanita novinupta. RNAcentral describes it as "eukaryotic LSU rRNA". It matches the Rfam family "Eukaryotic large subunit ribosomal RNA", at positions 35 to 652 of the family's 3401-position model. Lineage: Eukaryota; Fungi; Basidiomycota; Agaricomycetes; Agaricales; Amanitaceae. The record is from RNAcentral.
UAAGCAUAUCAAUAAGCGGAGGAAAAGAAACUAACAAGGAUUCCCUUAGUAACUGCGAGUGAAGAGGGAAAAGCUCAAAUUUAAAAUCUGGCAGUGUCUCACUGUCCGAGUUGUAACCUAGAGAAGUGUAACCUGCGCUGGACCGUGUAUAAGUCUCCUGGAAUGGAGCGUCACAGAGGGUGAGAAUCCCGUCUUUGACAUGGACCACCAGUGCAUUGUGGUUGUGCUCUCAACGAGUCGAGUUGUUUGGGAAUGCAGCUCUAAAUGGGUGGUAAAUUCCAUCUAAAGCUAAAUAUUGGCGAGAGACCGAUAGCGAACAAGUACCGUGAGGGAAAGAUGAAAAGAACUUUGGAAAGAGAGUUAAACAGUAUGUGAAAUUGUUGAAAGGGAAACGUUUGAAGUCAGUCGCGUUGGUUGGGGAUCAGCCUGACAUUGUUGGGUUUACUUCCUGGUCGACGGGCCAACAUCAGUUUUGACUGCCAGAAAAAGGCCAAAGGAAUGUGGCACCUUUGGGUGUGUUAUAGCCCUUGGUCGUAUAUGGUGGUUGGGACUGAGGAAAGCAGCGUGCCGAAAGGCCGGGUUUCGACCACGUUCACGCUGAGGAUGUUGGCAUAAUGGCUUUAAGCGACCCGU